GUUCAAAAAUAGUGUCUGUAGUACUGUGAGGUUUGCAGAGCACUUAACAAAUGUUCCAGACAUUAACUCUUAGAAUUAGAGUGAACAAGUCAAGCUGCGAUCAGUUAAUCUCGAUAGUCUUAAAGCAGUAGCGUUGGAUAAACAGGUCUUGGGGAUUUCUAAAGCUGUUAAGCCUAUGAUGGUUUCAGAGUAGUGGACAGAAAUCAUUUCUGACAAUGUUACAUACUGAGGCUUUGAUGUUGAGGGAUAACGAUUGCAUUCAGCUUGGCUCUUUGCAGUGUUAAGUCUUUUUUUUCUGUAUAUUGCAGUUAUGCAUCAUGGAUGAAGUUGCUGUUGCUGAAGCUCCGCAGGUAUUAAAAUCACAGGCAAACAGGAACUUGACAACUGGAAAUAGAAAUGGUGUCAGCUGAAUCUAAGUUGCUGCAGUUGGAUUAUUUUGUUUCCCUGGUCUGUCCAGAUUCUGUGAUUAUCACAUGAAAUGGAUGAAAAUGAAUUGAUCUGGGUUGCUGUUGAUCAAAUGGGCUUAUCUGUCCUGAGCCAAAGGUGAAGAUGUCGAAAAGCAUAAAAUGUCAAGGGGUUGGAGAAAACUGAUUUGGCAAAAAACCCACAGGAACUUAAAUACUGUCAAAGGAAUCCUUCUGAUGAAUCAUCAGAAAUAAGACUGCUGGCCCAACUUCCAAGUUAGGACCUUUUUGGGGAUCUGAGAAGUGGAACAAAACACCAGUAUGCUUUUAAAGUGUACACAACAGAAUUUUAAUAAAAUGAUAUU
Long non-coding RNA from Trichosurus vulpecula (common brushtail), 769 nucleotides. RefSeq lists it as uncharacterized. The record is from RefSeq and is a predicted model, not a curated record. The transcript is spliced from 10 exons. NCBI's taxonomy places the organism in Eukaryota, Metazoa, Chordata, Mammalia, Diprotodontia, Phalangeridae.